GCGAGGUGAACGGAGAGGAGAAAAGGGCUGCCUUUGCCGUUUGGUGCAAUGGCAGCAAGGGCAUUAGGCCUCGAGACGAGGUGCCUCGGGCGGCACGAGAGGAGCGGCUACUAGGGUUUUUAGUUUUACUAAAAAUAGUUUAGGUCGUGGGCCAUUUGAACUUUAGGGUUUUGUAUUAUUUGGGUUUAUAAAUUUUGGGCUUUCCGGCCUUAUAAAUAGACUUUGGACUUUAAUGAAUUUAUUAUUUAUUGUUUUUAAUUUUGUUUUGUUUUUUUUGUUUGUAGCUGGCCUGGCAGAAUUGGCCUGUUACAGUAUAGGUGGAUUUUCUUUAUUUGAAGUCUCUUUCGAGUGCGAAGAAGACACGGUGAAUAUUAUAAGGGGUUUUAAGGGGUAGGGAUUUUCAGAGAAAAAGGAGAAUUAUG
RNAcentral lists this long non-coding RNA (422 nucleotides) under Gossypium raimondii (Peruvian cotton). Its description in RNAcentral is "long non-coding RNA (GRAI_LNC009100)". Lineage: Eukaryota; Viridiplantae; Streptophyta; Magnoliopsida; Malvales; Malvaceae. The record is from RNAcentral.